CCUACGGGUGGCAGCAGUGGGGAAUAUUGGACAAUGGGGGGAACCCUGAUCCAGCCAUGCCGCGUGUGUGAAGAAGGCCCUCGGGUUGUAAAGCACUUUCAGUGAGGAAGAACGCCUGGUGGUUAAUACCCAUCAGGAAAGACAUCACUCACAGAAGAAGCACCGGCUAACUCCGUGCCAGCAGCCGCGGUAAUACGGAGGGUGCGAGCGUUAAUCGGAAUUACUGGGCGUAAAGCGCGCGUAGGUGGCUUGAUAAGCCGGUUGUGAAAGCCCCGGGCUCAACCUGGGAACGGCAUCCGGAACUGUCAAUCUAGAGUGCAGGAGAGGAAGGUAGAAUUCCCGGUGUAGCGGUGAAAUGCGUAGCGAUCGGGAGGAAUACCAGUGGCGAAGGCGGCCUUCUGGACUGACACUGACACUGAGGUGCGAAAGCGUGGGUAGCAAACAGGAUUAGAUACCCGUGUAGUC
Molecule: ribosomal RNA, 465 nt
Filed under: Vreelandella stevensii
Lineage: Bacteria; Pseudomonadati; Pseudomonadota; Gammaproteobacteria; Oceanospirillales; Halomonadaceae
Description: partial 16S ribosomal RNA
Rfam family: Bacterial small subunit ribosomal RNA
Source: RNAcentral